AGGUUCACGCCGCCUGUUGUUGGGAGGCCUUGGUCCUUGCCACAUGGAACUCUCCAUAGACUAGUCUAAGUAUUCUUAAAACAUGGCACUUGGUUUCCCCAAAGCAAGUGAUCUAAGAGAAUGCAAGAUAGAAGACAUGAUGUCAUUUAUGAUAUAACCUCAAAAGUUACACUCGUAUAUCCACAGUAUCCUUUUGGCUUCACUGGACAACCCUGGUCAAUGUAGGAGAUGACUAUACAAGGAUAUGAAUAUCACCAGCUUUCCUGACAAAAAAGCUAAGGAGUUUUCAAAUUCAAUAAGCAAGAUGGGAAGGAAGACAUGUCUCAACUAAACCUCUAUCAGGGAACUUCAGCCUAUCAUCACCAGCCUUUCUGUGGGCAGAUGAGGAAAGAGAUGUUGCCAUCUUCCAUCUCUUUGUCUUUCAUUCUUCUCUCCAAAGCCAC
RNAcentral lists this long non-coding RNA (443 nucleotides) under Callithrix jacchus (white-tufted-ear marmoset). Its description in RNAcentral is "lncRNA (ENSCJAG00000081002.1)". Lineage: Eukaryota; Metazoa; Chordata; Mammalia; Primates; Cebidae. The record is from RNAcentral.